AAGAGCGGUAUUCCUGCAGUCCUCCACCCAUUCCCCACAGAUCCAACAUGGCUGGAAACGGGCCUGGACCUGCAGGAGGCCGGGACAAAACAGUCACCGCUGCCAGCUCAGAGCGCUGCCCCUCGCUGGCUGAGACGUGGCCUUCCAGCAGAGAAACAUGCACCAGGAGCUGGCUGCAUGCUCCAGAAGAGUCCCAUCGGCUCGCAGCCCAAAUAGGAGCCUCCCACUGAAGGAUCACGAGUUACUGGACAGACAAAAGGCAGAAAUAAAACAAACAAA
This is a long non-coding RNA of Gambusia affinis (western mosquitofish), 279 nucleotides long. RefSeq lists it as uncharacterized. The transcript has 3 exons. The record is from RefSeq and is a predicted model, not a curated record. Lineage: Eukaryota; Metazoa; Chordata; Actinopteri; Cyprinodontiformes; Poeciliidae.